GAUGAACGCUGGCGGCGUGCCUAAUACAUGCAAGUCGAGCGAACGGACGAGAAGCUUGCUUCUCUGAUGUUAGCGGCGGACGGGUGAGUAACACGUGGAUAACCUACCUAUAAGACUGGGAUAACUUCGGGAAACCGGAGCUAAUACCGGAUGAUAUUUUGAACCGCAUGGUUCAAAAGUGAAAGACGGUCUUGCUGUCACUUAUAGAUGGAUCCGCGCUGCAUUAGCUAGUUGGUAAGGUAACGGCUUACCAAGGCAACGAUGCAUAGCCGACCUGAGAGGGUGAUCGGCCACACUGGAACUGAGACACGGUCCAGACUCCUACGGGAGGCAGCAGUAGGGAAUCUUCCGCAGUGGGCGAAAGCAUGACGGAGCAACGCCGCAUGAGUGAUGAAGGUCUUCGGAUCGUAAAACUCUGUUAUUAGGGAAGAACAUAUGUGUAAGUAACUGUGCACAUCUUGACGGUACCUAAUCAGAAAGCCACGGCUAACUACGUG
RNAcentral lists this ribosomal RNA (497 nucleotides) under uncultured bacterium. Its description in RNAcentral is "partial 16S ribosomal RNA". It matches the Rfam family "Bacterial small subunit ribosomal RNA", at positions 28 to 507 of the family's 1533-position model. The record is from RNAcentral.